GAUGAACGCUGGCGGCGCGCCUAAUACAUGCAGGUCGAGCGAACGGACGAGAAGCUUGCUUCUCUGAUGUUAGCGGCGGACGGGUGAGUAACACGUGGAUAACCUACCUAUAAGACUGGGAUAACUUCGGGAAACCGGAGCUAAUACCGGAUAAUAUUUUGAACCGCAUGGUUCAAAAGUGAAAGACGGUCUUGCUGUCACUUAUAGAUGGAUCCGCGCUGCAUUAGCUAGUUGGUAAGGUAACGGCUUACCAAGGCAACGAUGCAUAGCCGACCUGAGAGGGUGAUCGGCCACACUGGAACUGAGACACGGUCCAGACUCCUACGGGAGGCAGCAGUAGGGAAUCUUCCGCAAUGGGCGAAAGCCUGACGGAGCAACGCCGCGUGAGUGAUGAAGGUCUUCGGAUCGUAAAACUCUGUUAUUAGGGAAGAACAUAUGUGUAAGUAACUGUGCACAUCUUGACGGUACCUAAUCAGAAAGCCACGGCUAACUACGUG
RNAcentral lists this ribosomal RNA (497 nucleotides) under uncultured bacterium. RNAcentral's name for it is "partial 16S ribosomal RNA". It matches the Rfam family "Bacterial small subunit ribosomal RNA", at positions 28 to 507 of the family's 1533-position model. The record is from RNAcentral.